Molecule: long non-coding RNA, 1260 nt
Organism: Branchiostoma belcheri (Belcher's lancelet)
Lineage: Eukaryota; Metazoa; Chordata; Leptocardii; Amphioxiformes; Branchiostomatidae
Exons: 4
Source: RefSeq, a predicted model, not a curated record
ACGGUGAUAGAUUCGGCUUGAUAAGCGACAGCGUCGGUCGAUUUCUCGUGUCAAUGUCGCGUUGUGUCGGGUUCUGACUGGAUUUUAGGGACAGGUGUCGUCAGAGAACAUGUAGGAACACACGUGGACCACAGUUUGCCCCUGACCUGACACAAACUUGCUGACAUGCCCUUGAUGUGUUGGUGAGGCUAAAUGUGGUCAAUGGACAAAAUCAAUCACUUAAAUCGAUCCAAGAAAAGAAAGAGAGAGGUCUCCCUUCUGUCAGAGACCAGGGUAGAUUUCGUACACACUGGCCAAGGGAACAAGAGGGAGUGGAUUUUGCCAAAGGACCACAAAAAAUCAUGGAAAGAUGUCUGACUGGAAAAUGGCUCAUGUCAUUUUGAAAAAAUCAGGAUCAACAUAAAUGUUUCAUAGAAACUUGCUGAUAAUUCUUAGAGAAGUUAUUUCAACUUACUGUAGUUUAGGACAAAUGUUUUCGACAAAACUCUUUUUAAAGCUUUAGAGUAGAGUAGAGUAGAGUAUACCAUUGGUGACAACUUGUACGUAAUAGUGUGUAGUAGGCUCUGGUAAUAUAGUUUCCAACUUGGAUACGUGAACUUUUGCGAAUGAACUUUGGAGGAAAAGGGAAGGCAACUCGUUUGAUUGAUACCUACGACGAACACCGCAAUUUUAACAGGAGUUCUUUAUAACGUCUCUCGCCAAGAAUCGUAGAUCAUACACGCUAUUCCAAACUACUAACUCACACGUUUCAAUCUAACUUAUAUUUCCGGGAAAAAUUUCGCAAAUAUUAUUCGUGGUACUCAGCCAAGGACGACAAUAUUGCUGCAUGGGAAAUUGGUACGUGUGAAGGUGGGUUGUAGAUUAAAAAGGAUCUGAAAAAUGUUUUUUUUCCUACACUUUUGGUGAUUGGAAAAAGUGGAGCACAAACACGAAUUUAGUAUUUCUGAUCCACGUAGGUAAUAGAUAUGUCAGAAGUUCCUAUGAUAUGUGUAUACAAAAUACAAAAUGUACUAUUUCUAAGAAAAUUGAGUGGUAACUAUACGAAAAAUUGGAGAUACAAGUUUUGGGGACAUAUCAGUAUUUGUAAUUUGUGUAUCUAUCUCUUCAAGCGGUCUCGUAUCUUUUUAAAUGAAGAAUAUUUGAAAUCUUUAUAAUAUGGAGCAUUUUUAGAACAAUUUCUGCAAUGCGUAACACAAUGAUUUAUUUUAUGGUUGGUUAUGUAUUAUUGUUGUUUUCGUGCGUUUUUACCAACAACUCUUA